RNAcentral lists this ribosomal RNA (482 nucleotides) under uncultured bacterium. RNAcentral describes it as "partial 16S ribosomal RNA". It matches the Rfam family "Bacterial small subunit ribosomal RNA", at positions 30 to 507 of the family's 1533-position model. The record is from RNAcentral.
AUUGAACGCUGGCGGCAUGCCUUACACAUGCAAGUCGAACGGUAACGGGCCUUCGGGUGCCGGCGAGUGGCGAACGGGUGAGUAAUACAUCGGAACGUGCCCGAUCGUGGGGGAUAACGAGGCGAAAGCUUUGCUAAUACCGCAUACGAUCUACGGAUGAAAGCAGGGGACCGCAAGGCCUUGCGCGGACGGAGCGGCCGAUGGCAGAUUAGGGAGUUGGUGGGAUAAAAGCUUACCAAGCCGACGAUCUGUAGCUGGUCUGAGAGGAUGAUCAGCCACACUGGGACUGAGACGCGGCCCAGACUCCUACGGGAGGCAGCAGUGGGGAAUUUUGGACAAUGGGCGCAAGCCUGAUCCAGCCAUGCCGCGUGCAGGAUGAAGGCCUUCGGGUUGUAAACUGCUUUUGUACGGAACGAAAAGCCUUCUUUUAAUACAGGAGGGUCAUGACGGUACCGUAAGAAUAAGCACCGGCUAACUACGUG